UACAUAUAAAACUCUAACAAUUGAACUUUUUGACAAUGGGGUUUGAGUAUUGCUUUCAUAUUUGGAUUAUGACUUUCCUAGAAAUCUCAAAUAGAGAGAAUUUUUCACAUUCACACCACACCAAACUUUAGCGAUUACUGUAGUAAUCUUUUUAUAGCGUCGCCUCCGUCUCUACUGGACAUCUCACAUCACAUAUAUAAGAAUUCUCUUAUUUUAGCUAGCGGCUACCCCUUUUUGAAUAAACAUAGAAGAUAGAGAUGGGAAACAGUAUAGGCAGAGGAAGGAAGGCAAAGGUGAUGAAGAUUGAUGGCGAAACGUUCAAGUUAAAGACUCCGGCGAGGGCAAGGGAUGUUGUCAAGGACUAUCCAGGACACGUACUGCUGGAUUCGGAGGCUGUUAAGCAUUUUGGUAUCCGGGCUAAACCAUUGGAGUCUGAACAGGAGCUGAAGCCGAAGAAAAUAUACUUCCUGGUAGAAUUGCCAAAGGUUCCUGAAGAGAAAGAGCCCAGCAGGGCCACCAGAAGGGUACGCUCAGGAAUUUACAUGAGUGCUAAGGACAGGCUUGAGUGCCUGAUGCUGUCUCGGAAAUCUGUUUCUGACCUUUCCAUUGCUAGAUCAUUGUCUACUCAAGUUCCUGAUGGGCCUACGCCGGUUCGGGUGAAAAUGAGGCUUCCUAAGGCUCAAGUUGAAAAACUGGUGGAAGAGAGCAAAGAUGAAGUAGAGGUGGCUGAAAAGAUUGUUGAUCUUUUCAUGGAAAAUUCCGGCGAAGUUAACGGCCGCGAUGGUAACCGACGGCAAGCGCUAUGGAGGCCAGAACUUGGUAGCAUAAGAGAGAAUCUUAAGCCACGUAAGGUAUGGAUGGUUUCUUUGAAUUUAAUCAAUUUAAUUCCAACCUGCCAUGCUUGCUCAUAUUAUAUUUAUACGUAUACAUGGCCAUAAAUUGAGGGAAAAUUAAUCAAUUGAUAAUGAUCAUAUAAUAAGAAGGUUAUGUUCAUUAAUGUCUUUUCUUAAGUCUUAUUCAAAUUGCAUCUCUUAAUUGCUGCUCUAAGUUUAGUACCAACUUGUUGCAAUAUCUGAAUGCUCAACACAACUGCCCAUUGUGACAUACAACAUUUUGCAUUAUCGAGAGUUAAUCAAUUGUUGUUUUUUUUUUAUAUCAAAAAUGAUUUUUUUUAAAUAAUGAUUUCUUACAUUAUAAAAUAGAUAUUUAAUUAUUAUAUUUUAUUUGGAUAUAUGUAUAAUAUAUGCUUAAUUAAAG
RNAcentral lists this unclassified non-coding RNA (1257 nucleotides) under Hevea brasiliensis (rubber tree). Lineage: Eukaryota; Viridiplantae; Streptophyta; Magnoliopsida; Malpighiales; Euphorbiaceae. The record is from RNAcentral.